Molecule: transfer RNA, 70 nt
Filed under: Loxodonta africana (African savanna elephant)
Lineage: Eukaryota; Metazoa; Chordata; Mammalia; Proboscidea; Elephantidae
Rfam family: tRNA
About the family: Transfer RNA (tRNA) molecules are approximately 80 nucleotides in length. Their secondary structure includes four short double-helical elements and three loops (D, anti-codon, and T loops).
Source: Rfam by way of RNAcentral
GCAUUGGUUGUUCAGUGGUAGAAUUCUCGCCUUCCAUGCAGGAAACCUGGGUUCGAUUCCAGCUAACUCA